This 331-nucleotide signal recognition particle RNA is filed under the name Homo sapiens (human). RNAcentral describes it as "Metazoan signal recognition particle RNA (ENSG00000277605.1)". It matches the Rfam family "Metazoan signal recognition particle RNA". Rfam says of the family: The signal recognition particle (SRP) is a universally conserved ribonucleoprotein. It is involved in the co-translational targeting of proteins to membranes. Lineage: Eukaryota; Metazoa; Chordata; Mammalia; Primates; Hominidae. The record is from RNAcentral.
GCCGGGUGCUGUGGCUCACGCCUGUAAUCCCAACACUUUGGGAGGCCGAGGCGUGCGGAUCAUGAGGUCAGGAGAUCGAGACCAGCCUGGCCAACAUGGUGAAACCCCAUCUCUACUAAAAAUACAAAAAUUAGCUGGGUGUGGUGCGCGUGCCUGUAGUCCCAGCUACUCAGGAGGCUGAGGAUUCUUCUGCCUCAGUCUCCCAAGUAGCUAGGAUUACAGGCACCCACCACCAUGCCCAGCUAAUUUUUGUACUUUUAGUAGAGAUGGGGUUUCACCAUGUUGCCAGGCUGGUCUCGAUCUCCUGACCUCAAGCGAUCCACCCGCCUCA